AUACGGAGGGUGCAAGCGUUAUUCGGAAUCACUGGGCGUAAAGGACGCGUAGGCGGGUUGGCAAGUCAGAUGUGAACUCCUACAGCUUAACUGUAGAACUGCAUUUGAAACUGCUAACCUAGAGUAUGGGAGGGGGAGAUGGAAUUAGUGGUGUAGGGGUAAAAUCCGUAGAUAUCACUAGGAAUACCGAAAGCGAAGGCGAUCUCCUGGAACAUAACUGACGCUAAGGCGUGAAAGCGUGGGGAGCAAACAGGAUUAGAAACCCUAGUAGUCC
This 274-nucleotide ribosomal RNA is filed under the name uncultured bacterium. RNAcentral describes it as "partial 16S ribosomal RNA". It matches the Rfam family "Bacterial small subunit ribosomal RNA", at positions 523 to 796 of the family's 1533-position model. The record is from RNAcentral.